CCUACGGGGUGCAGCAGUGAGGAAUAUUGCACAAUGGGGGAAACCCUGAUGCAGCGACGCCGCGUGAGUGAAGAAGUAAUUCGUUAUGUAAAGCUCUAUCAGCAGGGAAGAAAAUGACGGUACCUGAGUAAGAAGCCCCGGCUAACUACGUGCCAGCAGCCGCGGUAAUACGUAGGGGGCAAGCGUUAUCCGGAUUUACUGGGUGGAAAGGGAGCGUAGACGGCAGUGCAAGUCUGGAGUGAAAGGCGGGGGCUCAACCCCCGGACUGCUCUGGAAACUGUACGGCUGGAGUGCAGGAGAGGUAAGUGGAAUUCCUAGUGUAGCGGUGAAAUGCGUAGAUAUUAGGAGGAACACCAGUGGCGAAGGCGGCUUACUGGACUGUAACUGACGUUGAGGCUCGAAAGCGUGGGGAGCAAACAGGAUUAGAUACCCCAGUAGUC
RNAcentral lists this ribosomal RNA (440 nucleotides) under uncultured bacterium. RNAcentral's name for it is "partial 16S ribosomal RNA". It matches the Rfam family "Bacterial small subunit ribosomal RNA", at positions 338 to 795 of the family's 1533-position model. The record is from RNAcentral.